This 468-nucleotide ribosomal RNA is filed under the name uncultured bacterium. Its description in RNAcentral is "partial 16S ribosomal RNA". It matches the Rfam family "Bacterial small subunit ribosomal RNA", at positions 28 to 507 of the family's 1533-position model. The record is from RNAcentral.
GACGAACGCUGGCGGCGUGCUUAACACAUGCAAGUCGAACGGAAAGGCCCUGCUUUUGUGGGGUGCUCGAGUGGCGAACGGGUGAGUAACACGUGAGUAACCUGCCCUUGACUUUGGGAUAACUUCAGGAAACUGGGGCUAAUACCGGAUAGGAGCUCCUGCUGUAUGGUGGGGGUUGGAAAGUUUCGGCGGUUGGGGAUGGACUCGCGGCUUAUCAGCUUGUUGGUGGGGUAGUGGCUUACCAAGGCUUUGACGGGUAGCCGGGCUGAGAGGGUGACCGGCCACAUUGGGUCGGGAAUGAGGCCCGGACUCAUCCGGGAGGCAGGAGUGGGGAAGAUUGCACAAUGGGCGGAAGCCUGAUGCAGCAACGCCGCGUGCGGUAAAACGGCCUUCGGGUUGUAAACCACUUUCGCCUGUGACGAAGCGUGAGUGACGGUAAUGGGUAAAGAAGCCCCGGCUAACUACGUG